This 8533-nucleotide long non-coding RNA is filed under the name Homo sapiens (human). RNAcentral describes it as "non-protein coding TMEM161B-AS1:70". The record is from RNAcentral. Lineage: Eukaryota; Metazoa; Chordata; Mammalia; Primates; Hominidae.
CUUGGAUUUAAAUUUGUCAUUAUUCUUAUUUUAUUUGUCCCACCUCUUAUAUGUUCAUUUUGUCUUCUUUUGCCUUUUUGAUUUUUUUUUUUCUUAAUUAGGCCAUAGCACCUGAUAUUCCCAGGCAGACUCUCAUCCAAGUGCCAAUCAGCCCCAGCCCUGCUUAGCUUCCCAGAUCAGAUGAGAACAGGCAUAUUCAGGGUGGUAUGGCUAUAGACCUUUUAGAUUAUUUUUAAUUAUUCCAUUUUUUCUACCUCAUAAGCUUGACAGAUGUCUUUUAGUAUCUUUUUACUGUUCACCUCAGGUAUUAAAACAUGGAACCUUGGUUUAUCAUCUUUAAGAUAAUUUGGUAUUAUACUUCUUCCAGGACAAUGUAAGGACCUGCGAACACAUCAACUUCAUUUACUGCCACACCUCAUGUUAUAUACAUUGUAUAUUCUUAAUAUGUAUUUCCUAAAUUCUCAAGACAUUUUUUAUACAAUAUGAAUUUACAUUUCAUAUUGUAUAAAACAUUUACUUUUUCUAUUGUGUUUCGUGGUUCCUGGAAUCUGAGCUUCCAUCUAAGACCUUAUUUCUUCUUGAAGGACAUACUUUAAUAUUUCUUCGAAUAUCUACUGGUAACAAUUCAUUCAGAUUUUCUGUCCUGACACUGUCUUAUUUUACUUUCAUUUUCUAAGAACGUUUUUGCUGAAUUAGCAGCUAUUUUAUCAUUUUGAAGAUAUAUUUUAUUCCUUCUGGCUUCCAUUAUGUCCUCUAAGACAUAAUGUCCAUUUUGUUUUUUUCUCUUCAAAGGUAAUCUUUUUUUGGAUGGCUACUUUUAAGAGGUUUGUCUUAAGUUUGGUGUGCCCACAUGUGUUUUGUGUUUGUUUUUUUGUGUGUGUGGUUUUUUUCUGCUUCGAGAUUGAUAAUGUUUCUUGAAUCUGGCUGUGAUGUCCUUAGGCUGUUUGAGAAAAUUCUUAGCUCUGUUUGAUCAGACAUUGCUUCUGCUUUCACUCUCCUUUCUCCUCUUCUUUUGAUACUCCACUUACAUUUGUAUUUGACAAUUCACUUUGUCCCUUGUAUUUUCCAUUUAUUUUCUUGUCUGUUUCAUCCUGAAUAUUUCUUCUUAACUUUCAGUUCACUAUUUUCUCUUAGUAGUCUCGAAUUUGUUAAAUCUCUCUUGAAGCAUUUAUUUUAGUUAUAUUUUUGGUUAUCAGUUCAAACAUUUCUACUUGAUUCUGUUUUAUUGUUUCCAGUUGUUUAUCCAAUAUCUCAAUCUUUUAUUUCCUCAAACAUACUAAUCAUAAUUACUUUAAAACCUGUAUCUAAUAACUAUGGUGUCUGCUAUUAUCUGACACUUUUCUUGUUUCUUGCUGUUAUCACAUUGUCUUGCUUUUAUGUCCCUUAUUUUUAUGUUAUUUUGUAUUAUUUAUUUUAUAAACAUUAUAAAUAUAUAAAACUUGGCUUAGGUUAUGUUUUAAUUGAAUGUCAGAAUUGUUUUGAUUGAACUGUAUAUGAGGAAACUAUACUUUGAAGUCCAAUAUGAUGGUAUUUUCUAAAGAAAGAAUUUAUGUCUCCUGGCAAGACCUUUGGACACUAGUAAUCUAAGAUCUUCUUAAUCUGGUUAGUGAUAGAGACAAUUAGAAUAUAGGCAGGUCUAUUUCCUGUUCAUACUUUCACAAUGUAGACCUCUGAAGUCCCAACUCAAGCAUGCAGAGUUUACCAGAUCAGGCCCUAAACUUCAGUUUUUGUCUUUUUAAUUCUAUGGGUUAGAAACUCUGUUCAACUUUUCAGCCAUCACCUCAGGAAUCAGAAGAUACUCCAGAGGAAAAGCUAAUGUAAAUGCUGGAUUCAACAACUCUGUUUUUUCCUUCUGAAUAUUUCAUUGUCUCUAAUGCUGUCAGAUGUUUGUUUUAUAUUUUGUCCAAGCUGAGUGUGGUGGCUCACGUCUGUAAUUUCAGCACCUUGGGAGGCCAAGGCGGGACCAUCCCUUGAGGCCAGGAAUUUGAGACUAGCCUAGGCAACAUAACAAGACCUUUGUCUCUUGGAAAAAAAUAAAUAAAUAAAUAUUAUUAGAAGUGAAAAUGGGGAUGUUGUUACAAAUGCUGUGGAGAUUGAUGAGAAAUUAUGAACAACUUAAUAAUAAAUGGGAAAAUAUAAAUGAAGUAGGCAGUUCCAGAAAAUGUAACUUUUCAAAAGCCAUGUAAUGGAAAAUAUAAAUGGUGGGAUGUUGAUGUAAGAAAUCAUGAUGCCCAGAGACUUUUGCCAAACCUUCAAAGGACAGAUCAUUACAAUUUUACACAAACCAUUCCACAGUAUAUUCCACUUAUAUACUGUGGAAUUGGCCCUUACUGCCCUUAUCAAAUUUAACAUCAAGGUUACAGAAGCUUAAUAUUACUGCCCUGAUUUUAUUAGGGCAGUAAUGAUUUGAUAAGGGCAGUAAGAAUUACAGCCCUGUCAUAUUCGCAAAGACAAAAAUCCUAAAUAAAACAGACCUUAGAAAAUGUGUUUUUAAGAAAAGAUAAUAAAACAUGAUCAGGUUGAAUUUAACCCAGGAAUGUAUUUUAGUAUAUUAAGAGAUUAGAAAAACUAUCUGGCUAUCUGAACAGAUGCAGGAAAAGAAAACUAUUUGAAAAAAUUAACAGACAUAGAUAAACCUUUGGGCAAAUUAGAAUUGUGUAGAACUUCCUUGAGCCAAUAAAACCUACAACAACAAUAUUUUAAGAUGAAGUAUUUGAAGCAGUCCAUUAGAAUCAGGAACAAGUACUAUGUUGGAGAUCCUAGCCAGCAUUAUAAGGCAAGAAAAACAAAAGAUUAAAAAUUGUAAAUAAACAUAACUUAGUCUACAGAUAAAUUAUUGAAGAGCUUUGCAAGGAUUCUGAAUAUACUAUUGAUAUGGUUUGGAUCUGUGUCCCUACCCAAAUCUCAUGUUGAAUUGUAAUCCCCAAUGUUGGAGGUGAGGCCUGGUGGGAGAUUGGAUCACGGGAAUGGGUUUCUCAUUCGUGGUUUAGUACCAUCCUCUUGGUACUGUCCUUGAAAUAGUUCUUAGGAGAUCUGGUAAUUUAGAAUUGUGUGGUACCUCUCCCCUCUCUCUUGCUCUUGCUCCCCCUUUGCCUUCCACCAUGAUUGGAAGCUUCCUGAAGCUGCCUCAGAAGCAGAAGCCACUAUGCUUCCUGUACAGCUUGCAGAACCAUGAGCCAAUUAAACCCCUUUUCUUUAUAAAUUACUCAGUCUCCAGUAUUUAUAGCAAUGUGAAAACAGAUAAUAUGACUAUCAAUAUACAAAAGUGAAUUGCAUUUCUUUCCAGCAGAAAUGAACUGUUAGAAAAUGAUUUUUGUAACAUACCAUUUACUAUAUUCCUUUAAAAAUAUAAAUUAGGUAACUUAACAAAAGGUAUAGAAGACCUCUGUAGAAAAUUACAAAACUUUAUUGACAGGCAUUUAAAAAUGUCUAAUUUUAAAAUUGCCAUGUUCAAUGAUUAAAAGACUCGAGUUAAGAUGGCAGUUCUCCACUACACAAUGAAGGUAAUUGCAAUACAAAUCCCAAAUGAGUUUUUCAAGGAGCUUGACAAACUGAUUCUAAAGUCUGUAUGACAAAAAGCAGAAUUCAGGAUACUCCAGAAGCAGAUUUAAGAUAGAAUUGACUUGUAGAUAUUCGUAACAGCAAAAAAAUAAAAACAACUCAAAUAUCCAUCAAAAGAUAAAAUGUUUAUCCAUGAAAAGAUACUCAAAAAGUGACACCUUUAUAUAAUGGGAUAUAUUUGGCUGCAAAAAGGAAUGAACUGCUAAUACCUGCUAUAAUGUGGAUAAACCUUGAAAGCCUGCUGAAAUAAAGAAGCCAGUCACAAAGGACCACUUAUGAUUCCAUUUAAACAAAGUGUAUAAAGUAGAAAAUGUAUUGAGACAAUAGAUUGUGGUUGUUUAGGGCUUACAAAGUUUGGGGUGAUGGGGGCCCGAGGUAGUGACAGCUAAAGGGUGCAGUUUCUUUUUGAGGCAAUAAAGUUCUAAAAUGUAUAGUUGCACGUUUCUGUAGAUACACUAAAAUCAAUUCAGUUGUGCAUUUAAAUGAGUAAAUUGGUAUGUGAAUUGUACCUCAAUAAAUCUGUUAAAACCAUAGUAAUUAGGAUAUUGUAAUACUGGCUUAGAGAUGGAAAAAUUGAUUUAUAAGGAAUCCUGAUUGUAAGGAAUCUUGACUUAUGUCAGAGAUGGCAUUGCAUACCAGCAGGGAAAGCUAGAUCAUUUCAAUAGAUGACGCUGCAUAUUCAUAUGGGGGAAAAAUGAAAUUGGUCCUCCCUACCUAACACCAUACAGAAAAAGUAGUUUCAGAUGACUUUAAGAUGUAAGUGUGAAAGGAAAACAUAGUAAACCUUCAAAAGAAAGAUUGCAAAAUAUUUUUAUGAUCUUAUGGUAGGGAAAUGUAAUAUGUAUAAAGGAAAACAUGUAUGUCCAAUAUGUUAAAGUUAAAAACCUCUGUUCAAGACUCCAUAAACCCUCAGAAUAGCGGUUAAUUUCAGUCAUGCCCAGGAAACAUACAAGAUGAGCCUGGAAUACCUUGUGCAAGAUAGCAAGGAAGCUAUUAGAGACUACGAGGGUGUCAUAUCAAAUGGACUCAGGAGACAACUGAAAAGCAUCCUUCUGGCCAUAGAUGAGACCAUUUGAGUGUCAAUAAGGACAGUAAAUGCAAUUGAUUGGAACAUAUCAAGUGUCUUUAAAUCUGAGUACAUAAUGAUUGUAAAACAAACAGCAUUUAGUUGGUCAACAGUAGAAGAUGCUGUUGCAUCAAUUCAUUAUUUUGAAAAUCAGUUUUGUUUUGUUUUUAAAGUAAUUAGGCAUUUGUCCUGCCUUUUGUAUGUGAACUGUAAGUAACCACAUAGUAGAUGAGGAGAGGGUUCUCUUUGUACAUGUAUUCUAGCUAAUAAAUGGAGGAAUGAUAGAAAAUUGCCAUUUUGAAAUUCCUAAUGAACAAAUGGAUUUAUUUAUUGCAUUUCAACAGCUGCUAACAUGACAGACAAGAAAACAUAUGUUUCUUAAUGGAAAAACACCACUACUGAUGUUAAAAUCUUAUCAAAAAUUUGACCCUGAUACUAAUCAGGUCUUUAGAUCCAUCCAAUUUGCAGAAAAUAUAAACACCAUUAAAACUUUAAGCCAAUGAAACCUACCACAACGUAAUAUUUUGGAAUGGAAAAUAUAAAUGAAAAAUCCAAUUUUGGAGAAUAUUGGGACAAAUUAAUUUCAACAAAUAUGUUGCAGGAGAAAAGGAGACGAGAAGGACAAGUGGAGAAAACCGUAGAUUACAAGAGACUUAGUUCAAUAUGAAGCAACCUGUGAACUUGGAUUAGUUAUCUUACUGUAUAACAAAUCACCCUAGCUUAAAUCUAAAAAUAUUUAUACACUUUCUUAGGAUCCACAGGUGGUUUAGCUAGAUGUUCUGGCCCAAGGUCUCAUGAAUUUGCAGUCAAGAUGUUGGCUGGGCUGUAGUCUGAAAGUUUGACUGGUGUUAGAGGAUCCACUUCCUAGAGGGCUCAUUCGUAGAGCUGCCUGUGUUUUCUCACAACAUGGCAACUGGCUUUCUCUAGAACAGGUGAUCCAAGAGAGAGACAGAAACCAUGAUCAUUCAGAGUGAUGUAACAUUACUUCUACUAUAUAAUGUUAGUCACACAGACAUUUCCCUGACAAUAUGUGGGAGGAGAUUACACAAGAGCAUGAAUACUGGGAAGCUAGCUGUCACAAUUUGGCCCCAAUGAUUGAUAGUUCUUGAUUUGCAAAAUAUAUUCAUCCCCUCCAAAAGCUCUCCAAAGCUCUCAUCCUAUGACACCAUUAGUUCAAGGUCUAGAAAUCUAAAUCAGUUCCAAUUGUGGAUGACACUCAUAGGUGUACUUAAGUACAGCUCCUCAAGAAGAGUUCUUUUUGAUCUGAAGACUCAUACACUAAAGACACAGUCUCUGCUUCCACAUGUAAUAGAAAAUGAAUAGGAUAAUAAAUGUGGACAUGUAUAUUUAAAAAGAGGGAAUAUUGGAGGUACAUAGGUUCACAGAAAUUCUGAAACCCACCUGGGCACAGAUUGGCAGUUGCUUGGUCAAGUUUCAAGGCCUAGAAUUCUCUUAGCUCUGCCUUCUGGGAUCUUGGAUCUACUCACUGAGUCACCCUUUCUUUUUCUUGUUUACACUUCUGCCUGCUUUCUGCCUAUAGAAGCUUGGAUGUCCCACAAGCUUCUUUCCAUUUGGUUCUCUCUGUGCCUUUCAGUCCAGGCUGGCCAUGUUUCUGCUAAUAGACUUCUCUUAAAAACUUUGUGGCUCACUUGUGAAUUUUGAGUUCACUCCAUCAGACAAAAGCAACAACCACACAUCUCGUCCCACAUAAACUCUGCCUCAAGCUUUUGCUGAUGAAAAUACCCUUAAACUUUUUAAAAACCUGUGAUGUUAUUCAGAGAUUUUCUGAGACACAUCGUUUGUCUGAUGAAAAUACUCUGAGGCACAACUUAAGAUCUUUCUGAGCUAUUAAAGGACUUUAUAACUACAGCCUCAACUUUAUGUUUUACUGGCAGUGCCCUAGAUUUGCUUUUUGCUCAGAGAUAUUCCCCAAUUUUAGCACAUUUGUCAUCUGCACAGGCUGGGAAUCUUCAAAUCCAGCAAGUUUUGACUUGUUUUUGUUUGUUUGUUUGUAAUAGAGUCUGUUUUUUGCUGUGUUGGCCAGGUGAUCUUGGACUCCUGGCUUCAAGCAUUCCUCCCACCUCAGCCUCCCAAAGUUCUGGGAUUUUAGGUAUAAGCCACCAUGCCCAGCCAUGGCUCCUUUUUGUUUAACAGUCCUUACUUUGAUGGUCUCUCUUCUCACACAUUUUACUAUCAGCAACAAGAAAAAAUACACAUGAAAUAUUUAACACUUGGCCGGCAAUCUCCUUUGCUAGAUCAAUGAGUUAAUUAGGCAUUUUUUCUACUUUGUACAUAUCUGUGGAUAACAAAUUUGCUAAACUUUCUGCCAUUAUGUAACAAGGAUCUCCUUCCCUCUAGUUUCCAAGAAGAGUUUUCUAAUCUGUUAAGAUGUCACCUGCAGCCUCCUCAAAGGUUAUCUAUUAUGCUUCUAUAAAAAAUUUCUUCAAAGCUCUUCAAACUUUCAUUAACACUCUCCUCCAAGUUCUACCUUCUGUUCACUGCCAGUUUUAAAACCACACUUACAUUUUAGGUUUUUGCUAACACCCCACUUCUGAGUACCAAAAUGUAUACUGAUUUUCUAUUGCUGCAUAAUAAACUGCCCCAAAAUACAACAUGCAAAGCAAUAAAUAUUCAUUAUCUCAUGUAGUGUCUGAAGGUCAAAAAUCCGGAAGCAGCAUAGCUGAGUGGUUCUGAUUCAUUGUCUCUUGUGAAGUUAUCAGUCAAACCAUCAGCUGAGACUGUAAUCAUCUGAUGUUUUAACUAGUACCAGAGGAUACACUUUCACAUGCUAUUGGCAGGACACUUUAGUUCUUCACUAGCUGUUUAGCAGAAUACCGCACUUCCUCACCACAUGUACCUCUUCAUAGAGCUUCCUGGCUUCCUCUAAAACAAGUAAUCCAAGAGAGAAGCAGAAGCCACCAUGGUUUUUUAUGCCGUUGUUGACCUAGCCCCCAAAGUGACAUAUUAUUACACAGAUAUGUAGCCAACCUGUGGGUCACUGAUACGGUUUGGAUGUGUGUCCCCUCCAAAUCUCAUGUUGAAAUGUGAUUCUCAGUGUUGGAAGUGGGGCUGGUGAUAGGUGUUUGGUUCAUGAGGGUAGAUCCCUUAUGAAUGGCUUGGUGCUGUCUUUGUGGCAAUAAGUGAGUUCUCACUAUCUGAGUUCACACAAGAGCUGGUUGUUUAAAAGAGCCUGUCAUCUCUUUUGCUCCCUUUCUCACCAUGUGAUAUGCUGCUCCCCUUCUCUUCUGCCAUGAAGAAAAGCUUCCUGAGGCCUUCACCAGAAGCAGAUGCUGGUGCCGUGCUUCUACAGCCUGCAGAACUGAAGGACUUUACAGCUUCUCUUUCGCAUAUCCAAAUUGCCAGCAUCACCGCUCUUGCACUCCAAGCCAUUAUUAAGUAAAGUAAAGAACACAAACACUGUGAUACUGCUACACUUGAUCUGAUAACCAAGAAGUCUACUAAGUGACUAACAGGUGGGUAGCAUAUACAGCAUAGAUACACUGGACAAAGGGAGGACUCACAUCCUGGGCAAGAUGGAGCAGAAUGGCAGAGUUCAUCAUGCUGCUCAAAAUGAUGUGCAAUUUAAAACUAAUGAAUUAUUUCUGGAAUUUUUCAGUUAAUAUUUUUGGACAUGAGGUGACUGCAGUUAACUAAAACCAUGGAAAGCAAACCCAUAGAUAAAGGGAUACUAUGGUAUGUUUUCAUUUUCUAUAAUAAAAAGUUAAAAAGGAAAAAGACACCAUAGGAAAAUAAAAGACAAGUCACAAACUGGGAAAAGAUCUUUGCAACACAUGUGACUAUCGAAAGGAUUAGUAUUCACACUGUGUAAAGAACCACUACAAUUCAAUGAAAAUGAAGAUAAUGCUUUCCACCCCAAACAGGCAAUUCAUACAGGAGAAAACCUGA